CUUUAAGAAAACCAUCUGGACUAGAAAAGGUGCUCUGGCAGAGAUUAGUAAGAAUAAGGCAAAAAGCUCGCAACAAGGAUAGUAGAGUAAGAAAAGAACAACAGAAAAGUAAGAAAAAAACAACAGAAAAAGAAGCUCAGUAGCAGCAAGUAAGGUCUUCCCUUACUCUAUUUCCUCAAAGGAAGAAAUAGUCGGGAAGUAGAUAGAGCGG
This 211-nucleotide long non-coding RNA is filed under the name Panax ginseng (ginseng). RNAcentral describes it as "long non-coding RNA (PGIN_LNC008561)". The record is from RNAcentral. Lineage: Eukaryota; Viridiplantae; Streptophyta; Magnoliopsida; Apiales; Araliaceae.